GCGCAUCGAAAAGAUGGUGGAUGGUAUCAGAAAUUAUCGAUGUAUUGAGUUUAUUAAGUUUUAAAGGUUUAAUAAAACAGUGUAUCUAACGUUCUGAACGUCGAUUGAAAACAUAAAAAUGGGUUCAAAUAAACGGCAUAAAACCGAGAAGAGCCGGGACGCUAAGAAGAAGCGUCACCGAAGCCGCUCACGUAGCUAUACACCUGAACGCGAAAAAUCGGAUAAGCACAGGCAUCAUAAAAAGCAUAGAAGGAAAGAACGCAAGGAUUAUGACAGUGAUGUCGAAAUAGUUAAUGCACCUCCCCCACCAAAAAUUUCUAAGUCAUCACAUCCAUCAACACCUCCACCUCCUGAAAUUUCUAAACAACGCAGUCCUUCGCCGAUCAAAGGUGGUGCAGCACAAAGCUCUCUAUCCAUUGAAGAAACUAAUAAACUACGAGCAAAGUUAGGUUUGAAACCAUUAGAAGUUGAUAGUGGUCCAAAAGAUGAUCCUAAUAAGAUUAAAGACGAUUUGGGAGAAUUUUAUCAUAAACCUGCCCCUGAUGUUAAUGAAAAGUUAAGGACACAAAAAUUAAAGGAGAAGAUUACUGUUCAGAAACAGAAAAGGCUCAUUGAAUCUAAUUUAUCAAAAACUAAGACCUUAGGAGAAUGUGAUUCUGAUGAUGAUGCUGAAGUUUGGAUUGAUAAAACCAGACGUUUGGAAGAGGAGAAGAAAAAAGCAGAAGAAAGGGCAAAAAUGUUAGAUCAGUUAGAUGAGGAAUUUGGCAUUGGAAAUUUAGUUAAAGAGGAAAUACAUGCUGCUCGAAAUACAGCUUAUACUGAAAAGAAUUUAAGGGGUCUUAGAGUAGAGCAUGAUAUUGAUAAGUUUGAAGAAGGUAAAACAAUUAUAUUGACUUUAAAAGACCAGGAAGUUUUGAAAGAAAAUGACGACGUACUAGUCAACGUAAAUAUAACGGACGAAGAACGUUACCAACGUAAUAUUUUAAAUAAAACUAAAAAACCUGGUUAUGAUGCAUAUGAUGAUGAUAACUUUGAUGAGUUUGGUAUAUCUAAGAAGUCUAUCUUAGAAAAAUAUGACGAAGAAAUCGAAGGCGAGAAGAAAGAUUCUUUUGUGUUAGGGACUAAUAAUAUAAAAGAUACUAAGCAGAAUAAACUUGAUUAUGUCAAGCAGCGUUUAGCUAAUAAGCGACUAGAAUCGUUACAGCUAGCAGAGCCAAAAUUAGCUAGUGAAUAUUACAAUGAGCAAGAACUUGCAAAGUUUAAGAAACCAAAGAAAAAGGUUCGAAAAAUUAGGAAAAAAUUAAAAGCAGAAGAUCUGGUUCCUGAAGAUAACGAUUAUCUUCGUGAUUUAGGAAGCAGAAGAAGUAAACGACCUAAGGAUAUAAAAGAUAACGAUAGUUUAGACGUAGAUGACUUAGAAGCUCCUCCUGAAGAUCUUAGUGGAAUUAAGUUGGAAGAAGAUGAUAAAGAAUUAGAGUUACAGUUAGCACUCAAGAAAGCUCAACGUUUGAAAGAAUCACAAGCAUCAAGUAUUGAGAAAGUUGUUGAAACUAUAAAGCAAGAACCUGCUGGUUCUGAAGAAAGUCAAUCUGGAAAUAUUGUUCUUAAUGCCACCGCAGAAUUUUGUAGAACUUUAGGAGACAUUCCAACUUACGGACUUGCCGGAAACAGGGAAGAAAAUGGGCAAGAACUUAUGGAUUUCGAAAUGGAUGGAGUUAAAGAAGAACCACCGGUAAAUGACGAAGAAGAUGAUGGUCGUGGCGCGUGGAAUACUGUGCAAUUAGAUGAAAGUAUAACAGAGCCAGUAGCGAUGGAAGCUGCAAUUUUGGACGCAGAGCCUUCGCUCGGACAUGGGGUUGGUGGUGCACUAAAACUCGCAAUGAGUAAAGGUUAUUUGCAAAAAGAAGAUAGUAGUAGACCAUCUGCGUCUCGUUUCGCGCAUUUGCAGGCUCAGAAUUAUUCGAUAGAGGACAAAACUUACGGUUAACAGUCGUAAAUAGAGCCCGGAUUUCGGUGCUCGGAAAUGGAUGAUCCGCUACCGCAAGAGUUAACUACUUUGUCGGAGAUGAUCAAAGGCCAGAGAAGAGAGUAGGAUUAAUUGAGAGACGACGAUAAAUUCGGUAGAAGAGACCGGUUUAAUGGCCCAACUUCAGAAUUUAAGGAAAAAGAUGGUUUCAAGCCUAAUGUGAA
RNAcentral lists this unclassified non-coding RNA (2190 nucleotides) under Megachile rotundata (alfalfa leafcutting bee). Lineage: Eukaryota; Metazoa; Arthropoda; Insecta; Hymenoptera; Megachilidae. The record is from RNAcentral.